This 216-nucleotide ribosomal RNA is filed under the name Clostridioides difficile. Its description in RNAcentral is "partial 23S ribosomal RNA". It matches the Rfam family "Bacterial large subunit ribosomal RNA", at positions 2262 to 2477 of the family's 2925-position model. Lineage: Bacteria; Bacillati; Bacillota; Clostridia; Peptostreptococcales; Peptostreptococcaceae. The record is from RNAcentral.
UGGGCAGUUUGACUGGGGCGGUCGCCUCCCAAAAGGUAACGGAGGCGCUCAAAGGUUCUCUCAGUACGGUCGGAAAUCGUACGUAGAGGGUAAAGGCAAAAGAGAGCUUGAUUGCAAGACAUACAGGGCGAGCAAGGAUGAAAAUCGGACUUAGUGAUCCGGUGGUUCUGCGUGGAAGGGCCAUCGCUCAACGGAUAAAAGCUACCCUGGGGAUAA